Molecule: ribosomal RNA, 252 nt
Filed under: uncultured bacterium
Lineage: Bacteria
Description: partial 16S ribosomal RNA
Rfam family: Bacterial small subunit ribosomal RNA
Source: RNAcentral
UACGUAGGUCCCGAGCGUUGUCCGGAUUUAUUGGGCGUAAAGCGAGCGCAGGUGGUUUAUUAAGUCUGGUGUAAAAGGCAGUGGCUCAACCAUUGUAUGCAUUGGAAACUGGUAGACUUGAGUGCAGGAGAGGAGAGUGGAAUUCCAUGUGUAGCGGUGAAAUGCGUAGAUAUAUGGAGGAACACCGGUGGCGAAAGCGGCUCUCUGGCCUGUAACUGACACUGAGGCUCGAAAGCGUGGGGAGUAAACAGG